Molecule: long non-coding RNA, 319 nt
Organism: Acipenser ruthenus (sterlet)
Lineage: Eukaryota; Metazoa; Chordata; Actinopteri; Acipenseriformes; Acipenseridae
Exons: 3
Source: RefSeq, a predicted model, not a curated record
AGGUGGAGAGUCAUUAUGAUUUCCAAGAUAUAGCCAGCGUGGUGGCUCUGGCAAAAACCUACGCUACCACUGAGCCUUACAUCGACUCCAAGUACGACGUCAGGAUCCAGAAGAUAGGCAGCAAUUACAAAGCCUACAUGAGAACCUCCAUUUCCGGCAACUGGAAGGCGAACACAGGAUCUGCAAUGCUGGAGCAGAUCGCCAUGUCUGAUCGAUACCGCAUGUGGGCAGAUUCCUGCGCUGAGAUGUUCGGGGGUCUGGACAUCUGUGCAGUGAAGGCAGUCCACGGCAAAGAUGGGAAAGACUACAUCAUUGAGGU